Molecule: ribosomal RNA, 444 nt
Filed under: uncultured bacterium
Lineage: Bacteria
Description: bacterial SSU rRNA
Rfam family: Bacterial small subunit ribosomal RNA
Source: RNAcentral
CACGAACGCUGGCGGCAGGCUUAACACAUGCAAGUCGAACGCCCCGCAAGGGGAGUGGCAGACGGGUGAGUAACGCGUGGGAACGUGCCCUUCGCUUCGGAGUAGUCCCGGGAAACUGGGUUUAAUACCGGAUACGCCGUAUUGGGAAAGAUUUAUCGGCGAAGGAUCGGCCCGCGUUAGAUUAGCUAGUUGGCGGUGUAAUGGACCACCAAGGCUACGAUCUAUAGCUGGUCUGAGAGGANGAUCAGCCACACUGGGACUGAGACACGGCCCAGACUCCUACGGGAGGCAGCAGUGGGGAAUCUUGGACAAUGGGCGAAAGCCUGAUCCAGCCAUGCCGCGUGAGUGAAGAAGGCCUUAGGGUUGUAAAACUCUUUCGCCGGUGAAGAUAAUGACGGUAACCGGAGAAGAAGCCCCGGCUAACUUCGUGCCAGCAGCCGCUGU